UUAAGCGACUAAGCGUACACGGUGGAUGCCCUGGCAGUCAGAGGCGAUGAAGGACGUGCUAAUCUGCGAUAAGCGUCGGUGAGGUGAUAUGAACCGUUAUAACCGGCGAUUUCCGAAUGGGGAAACCCAGUGUGUUUCGACACACUAUCAUUAACUGAAUCCAUAGGUUAAUGAGGCGAACCGGGGGAACUGAAACAUCUAAGUACCCCGAGGAAAAGAAAUCAACCGAGAUUCCCCCAGUAGCGGCGAGCGAACGGGGAGGAGCCCAGAGCCUGAAUCAGUGUGUGUGUUAGUGGAAGCGUCUGGAAAGGCGUGCGAUACAGGGUGACAGCCCCGUACACAAAAAUGCACAUAUUGUGAGCUCGAUGAGUAGGGCGGGACACGUGGUAUCCUGUCUGAAUAUGGGGGGACCAUCCUCCAAGGCUAAAUACUCCUGACUGACCGAUAGUGAACCAGUACCGUGAGGGAAAGGCGAAAAGAACCCCGGCGAGGGGAGUGAAAAAGAACCUGAAACCGUGUACGUACAAGCAGUGGGAGCCUCUUAAUGGGGUGACUGCGUACCUUUUGUAUAAUGGGUCAGCGACUUAUAUUCUGUAGCAAGGUUAACCGAAUAGGGGAGCCGAAGGGAAACCGAGUCUUAACUGGGCGUUAAGUUGCAGGGUAUAGACCCGAAACCCGGUGAUCUAGCCAUGGGCAGGUUGAAGGUUGGGUAACACUAACUGGAGGACCGAACCGACUAAUGUUGAAAAAUUAGCGGAUGACUUGUGGCUGGGGGUGAAAGGCCAAUCAAACCGGGAGAUAGCUGGUUCUCCCCGAAAGCUAUUUAGGUAGCGCCUCGUGAAUUCAUCUCCGGGGGUAGAGCACUGUUUCGGCAAGGGGGUCAUCCCGACUUACCAACCCGAUGCAAACUGCGAAUACCGGAGAAUGUUAUCACGGGAGACACACGGCGGGUGCUAACGUCCGUCGUGAAGAGGGAAACAACCCAGACCGCCAGCUAAGGUCCCAAAGUCAUGGUUAAGUGGGAAACGAUGUGGGAAGGCCCAGACAGCAGGAUGUUGGCUUAGAAGCAGCCAUCAUUUAAAGAAAGCGUAAUAGCUCACUGGUCGAGUCGGCCUGCGCGGAAGAUGUAACGGGGCUAAACCAUGCACCGAAGCUGCGGCAGCGACACUAUGUGUUGUUGGGUAGGGGAGCGUUCUGUAAGCCUGUGAAGGUGGCCUGUGAGGGUUGCUGGAGGUAUCAGAAGUGCGAAUGCUGACAUAAGUAACGAUAAAGCGGGUGAAAAGCCCGCUCGCCGGAAGACCAAGGGUUCCUGUCCAACGUUAAUCGGGGCAGGGUGAGUCGACCCCUAAGGCGAGGCCGAAAGGCGUAGUCGAUGGGAAACAGGUUAAUAUUCCUGUACUUGGUGUUACUGCGAAGGGGGGACGGAGAAGGCUAUGUUGGCCGGGCGACGGUUGUCCCGGUUUAAGCGUGUAGGCUGGUUUUCCAGGCAAAUCCGGAAAACCAAGGCUGAGGCGUGAUGACGAGGCACUACGGUGCUGAAGCGACAAAUGCCCUGCUUCCAGGAAAAGCCUCUAAGCAUCAGGUAACAUCAAAUCGUACCCAAAACCGACACAGGUGGUCAGGUAGAGAAUACCAAGGCGCUUGAGAGAACUCGGGUGAAGGAACUAGGCAAAAUGGUGCCGUAACUUCGGGAGAAGGCACGCUGAUAUGUAGGUGAAGCGACUUGCUCGUGGAGCUGAAAUCAGUCGAAGAUACCAGCUGGCUGCAACUGUUUAUUAAAAACACAGCACUGUGCAAACACGAAAGUGGACGUAUACGGUGUGACGCCUGCCCGGUGCCGGAAGGUUAAUUGAUGGGGUUAGCGGUAACGCGAAGCUCUUGAUCGAAGCCCCGGUAAACGGCGGCCGUAACUAUAACGGUCCUAAGGUAGCGAAAUUCCUUGUCGGGUAAGUUCCGACCUGCACGAAUGGCGUAAUGAUGGCCAGGCUGUCUCCACCCGAGACUCAGUGAAAUUGAACUCGCUGUGAAGAUGCAGUGUACCCGCGGCAAGACGGAAAGACCCCGUGAACCUUUACUAUAGCUUGACACUGAACAUUGAGCCUUGAUGUGUAGGAUAGGUGGGAGGCUUUGAAGUGUGGACGCCAGUCUGCAUGGAGCCGACCUUGAAAUACCACCCUUUAAUGUUUGAUGUUCUAACGUUGGCCCGUAAUCCGGGUUGCGGACAGUGUCUGGUGGGUAGUUUGACUGGGGCGGUCUCCUCCUAAAGAGUAACGGAGGAGCACGAAGGUUGGCUAAUCCUGGUCGGACAUCAGGAGGUUAGUGCAAUGGCAUAAGCCAGCUUGACUGCGAGCGUGACGGCGCGAGCAGGUGCGAAAGCAGGUCAUAGUGAUCCGGUGGUUCUGAAUGGAAGGGCCAUCGCUCAACGGAUAAAAGGUACUCCGGGGAUAACAGGCUGAUACCGCCCAAGAGUUCAUAUCGACGGCGGUGUUUGGCACCUCGAUGUCGGCUCAUCACAUCCUGGGGCUGAAGUAGGUCCCAAGGGUAUGGCUGUUCGCCAUUUAAAGUGGUACGCGAGCUGGGUUUAGAACGUCGUGAGACAGUUCGGUCCCUAUCUGCCGUGGGCGCUGGAGAACUGAGGGGGGCUGCUCCUAGUACGAGAGGACCGGAGUGGACGCAUCACUGGUGUUCGGGUUGUCAUGCCAAUGGCACUGCCCGGUAGCUAAAUGCGGAAGAGAUAAGUGCUGAAAGCAUCUAAGCACGAAACUUGCCCCGAGAUGAGUUCUCCCUGACUCCUUGAGGGUCCUGAAGGAACGUUGAAGACGACGACGUUGAUAGGCCGGGUGUGUAAGCGCAGCGAUGCGUUGAGCUAACCGGUACUAAUGAACCGUGAGGCUUAACCUU
Molecule: ribosomal RNA, 2901 nt
Filed under: Escherichia coli JCM 5491
Lineage: Bacteria; Pseudomonadati; Pseudomonadota; Gammaproteobacteria; Enterobacterales; Enterobacteriaceae
Description: bacterial LSU rRNA
Rfam family: Bacterial large subunit ribosomal RNA
Source: RNAcentral